UGGAGAUCCGCUAUGUCCUACUUAUCAUCAAUCAAAUCCCUCAAAUGAAAAGUGACCUCGCCAUUAUUGCUCAAAAGACUGGAAGGAGUCCUGUGGAGGAUCUAGAUGUCUCCUUCUCAACUUUUGGAGAAGUGCAACC
This is a long non-coding RNA of Rhinichthys klamathensis goyatoka, 139 nucleotides long. RefSeq lists it as uncharacterized. The record is from RefSeq and is a predicted model, not a curated record. The transcript has 3 exons. Lineage: Eukaryota; Metazoa; Chordata; Actinopteri; Cypriniformes; Leuciscidae.